AACCUUCCACAAUGGACGAAAGUCUGAUGGAGCAACGCCGCGUGAGCGAAGAAGGUUUUCGGAUCUUAAAGCUCUGUUGCGAGAGAGGAACCAGUACGGGAGUAACUGCCCGUACCUUGACGUUACCUCGUCAGAUAGCCAUGGCUAACUACGUGCAAGCAGCCGCGGUAAUACGUAGGUGGCAAGCGUUGUCCGGAAUUAUUGGGCGUAAAGCGCGCGGAGGCGGUCCUUUAAGUCUGAUGGGAAAGCCCACGGCUCAACCGUGGAGGGUCAUUGGAAACUGGAGGACUUGAGUACAGAAGAGGAAAGCGGAAUUCCACGUGUAGCGGUGAAAUGCGUAGAGAUGUGGAGGAACACCAGUGGCGAAGGCGGCUUUCUGGUCUGUAACGGACGCUGAGGCGCGAAAGCGUGGGGAGCAAACA
RNAcentral lists this ribosomal RNA (422 nucleotides) under uncultured bacterium. RNAcentral's name for it is "partial 16S ribosomal RNA". It matches the Rfam family "Bacterial small subunit ribosomal RNA", at positions 360 to 774 of the family's 1533-position model. The record is from RNAcentral.